AUUGAUACAUUGCUAUUUGCUAAUGUCAAUGUGCAGAACAAUGCACGCUGCAACAGUUCCAAUUCACCCUCUUGUGAUUGCAGGCUGGUGUGGCUUAACCAUACAAGCUUUUAACAUGCUUCCAGUGGGGUGCCUUGAUGGUGGAAGAGCAGUGCAGGGUGCUUUUGGAAAAAGUGCACUAGUUGGCUUUGGUUUAACCACUUACACGUUGCUUGGAUUAGGAGUGGUAUGUCUGAUC
Molecule: non-coding RNA, 238 nt
Organism: Cajanus cajan (pigeon pea)
Lineage: Eukaryota; Viridiplantae; Streptophyta; Magnoliopsida; Fabales; Fabaceae
Source: RefSeq, a predicted model, not a curated record